Molecule: long non-coding RNA, 843 nt
Organism: Pimephales promelas (fathead minnow)
Lineage: Eukaryota; Metazoa; Chordata; Actinopteri; Cypriniformes; Leuciscidae
Source: RefSeq, a predicted model, not a curated record
UUCAAACAUUGUUUUACAUUUUUAAUAGGAUACUGCCUAUGGGCUUCAUAUGAUCAUUCCAUUUAUAGUUUGACGAUGGCCACAGGCCUACUAUCCACUUAAUAAUGUAUCAAGUUUCAGCUGAUUAUCAAAUAAUUCACUCCAUCUAUUCGUGUUUUAAUCAAUGGGCGCACGCGCUGAACAUUCGAGCCGCAUUUGAACUGGAGCGGACAGCGUUACCAUGGAAACCGGUCGGUAGCUCAACUGACAACAAGCAGCACAGCUCCACCUCUCGCUGUUGUUUUCACUACUUUCAGUGUUGUUAGCUCUAACCCCAAUUAAUCAGACCUGAGCAGCUGACUAAACAUCACCAGAAACUCUGCAGAGCCCUGGUCUGGUCUGGAUGCCACUGUUGCUAAAGUAUUUAAAGUAAAAACUUCAGUCGUGGCUUAAUAAUCCGGGGUUGGGAUGGUGGAAGGAGCAGAAGAACCAGAAGAUCGGAGAUCAGGAAGACAUCUAUUGGUGCCCCUGAGGGAACUGAUUUAAUGUGUAAAAUUUAACCAAAAAUGUUCGUCAUUCACCUUCAUGUCGUUGCAAACCUGUAAGACUUUCGUUCAUCUUUGAAAGAUAUUUUUAGUGAAAUCUGAGAGCUUUCUGUCCCUCAAUUUCACAGUUUAUGCAACUACCACUUUCAUGCUUCAGAAAGGUAAGACAUUAUAAAAAUAAUCAAUAGAGGGUUUGCACCUACGUCAUGAUUUGGCCAGUUACCCGGAUGCGCGGCUAUAUUGGAGAUACUCGGAGGUAAACAACAGCAUUGAUUGCACUGUUUAUGUACUACUGAACACAUUGUUACACUAAUUUAUG